RNAcentral lists this ribosomal RNA (248 nucleotides) under uncultured bacterium. Its description in RNAcentral is "partial 16S ribosomal RNA". It matches the Rfam family "Bacterial small subunit ribosomal RNA", at positions 1244 to 1500 of the family's 1533-position model. The record is from RNAcentral.
GGGCAGCUACCUGGUGACAGGAUGCGAAUCUCGAAAGCCGGUCUCAGUUCGGAUUGGAGGCUGAAACUCGCCUCCAUGAAGUUGGAUUCGCUAGUAAUCGCGCAUCAGCCAUGGCGCGGUGAAUACGUUCCCGGGCCUUGUACACACCGCCCGUCAAGCCAUGGGAGUUGGGGGUGCCUGAAGUACGUGACCGCAAGGAGCGUCCUAGGGCAAAACCGAUGACUGGGGCUAAGUCGUAACAAGGUAUC